GAUGAACGCUGGCGGCGUGCCUAAUACAUGCAAGUCGAGCGAACGGACGAGAAGCUUGCUUCUCUGACGUUAGCGGCGGACGGGUGAGUAACACGUGGAUAACCUACCUAUAAGACUGGGAUAACUUCGGGAAACCGGAGCUAAUACCGGAUAAUAUUUUGAACCGCAUGGUUCAAAAGUGAAAGACGGUCUUGCUGUCACUUAUAGAUGGAUCCGCGCUGCAUUAGCUAGUUGGUAAGGUAACGGCUUACCAAGGCAACGAUGCAUAGCCGACCUGAGAGGGUGAUCGGCCACACUGGAACUGAGACACGGUCCAGACUCCUACGGGAGGCAGCAGUAGGGAAUCUUCCGCAAAGGGCGAAAGCCUGACGGAGCAACGCCGCGUGAGUGAUGAAGGUCCUCGGAUCGUAAAACUCUGUUAUUAGGGAAGAACAUAUGUGUAAGUAACUGUGCACAUCUUGACGGUACCUAAUCAGAAAGCCACGGCUAACUACGUG
RNAcentral lists this ribosomal RNA (497 nucleotides) under uncultured bacterium. Its description in RNAcentral is "partial 16S ribosomal RNA". It matches the Rfam family "Bacterial small subunit ribosomal RNA", at positions 28 to 507 of the family's 1533-position model. The record is from RNAcentral.